CAAUUAUGUGUGGUAACCCAUCUUCCGAAAGCAUCUAUUCCUGAUCUGGGAUAGCGCCGUACUAAGGAUUUAACAGGUUUUGCUUGGAUGUUGUGGCUGGGAAUGCUAUCGACUGAUGGUAGCCAGUGUACAAUAUUAUGGUCACUGGAUCCUAAUGGAGCAAGGACAUUAGGGCGGUCAUAUAAAUUAUACAGGUUUGUAAGAAUAAGAUCGAGUAUUGCUGAUUCUCCAG
Paramuricea clavata is the source of this 232-nucleotide non-coding RNA. The record is from the annotation of a GenBank genome assembly. Lineage: Eukaryota; Metazoa; Cnidaria; Anthozoa; Malacalcyonacea; Plexauridae.